This is a long non-coding RNA of Xiphophorus couchianus (Monterrey platyfish), 606 nucleotides long. RefSeq lists it as uncharacterized. Lineage: Eukaryota; Metazoa; Chordata; Actinopteri; Cyprinodontiformes; Poeciliidae. The transcript is spliced from 3 exons. The record is from RefSeq and is a predicted model, not a curated record.
AGGAACAGAGACGGGUCAGAACCAGAACCAGACUUCUGGAGGGUUAGGGUCAGAACCAGACAUGCACGGCUCCUGUAGUGGAAAAACAAACAGCUCCCCCUAGAGGAAGACCUGCAUGUUUAAACAGAAACUCAGACCUCGGCGCCCCCUGCUGCUCAACUUGAGCUCAGCAGGAAAACAUGAUUCAAGAUGAAACAGAAACAAUCAAGACCAGCAGGAGGCGCCACAGAUCCACAUCUGAGCUGACGAGUCCCAGAGAGACUCGGAUCAACCUGAACAGAACCGGCAGGCUGCAGGAGGUCAGAGUGAACCGGACCUGUGAGAACGUCAGCAGCACCAGAUGGACUGGCGUCCGAGUCAGAACCCUGCAGAAUCUACUCUAUCGUUAUGGAGAACGGGAGACAGUCCGGGUCUCUGAUGAACUGGGGGCUUCUGGUCCGGUCUGGGGGGUUCUGGAGAGAUCCAGGUCCUGUUCUGAGUCCUCACAGAGAUAGAAGGAUGUGUGUGUGUGUCUGUCUAGCUCGGGUACCAAGCCACCAGAGGAACCAGAAGAACCGCCCAAGUUCUGCAGAGCGGCACGCAACCCAAUGAUCAGGUCCAGUUGCU